AGUCUGGCCUGCUCAAUGAUUAUUUAAAUGGCUGCAGUAUUUUGACUGUACAAAGGUAGCAUAAUCAUUUGUCUUUUAAAUGGAGACUGGAAUGAAAGGUUGGAUGAAAUAUAUACUUUCUUUACUUUUUAAAAAAAAAUUGAUUUUUUGGUAAAAAAGCCAAAAUUUAUUUGGAGGACGAGAAGACCCUUUAGAGCUUGAUUGUCUUUUUGAUAUAGGAUUUUUGGGUUAGAUAAAUAUUUUAUGUUUAGUUGAUAAUUUAAUUGGGGUGAUUGGAAAAAAUUUAUAACUUUUCUUUUUUUAUUCAUUUAUAUAUGAAUAGUUGAUCCUUUAUUAUAGAUUAUAAGAUUAAGCUACCUCAGGGAUAACAGCGUUAUCAUUUUGGAGAGUUCAUAUCGAUGAAAUGGUUUGCGACCUCGAUGUUGGAUUAAAAUAAAUAAUAGGGGUAGAAUUUUAUU
RNAcentral lists this ribosomal RNA (458 nucleotides) under Psallops sp. UNSW ENT 00025518. RNAcentral's name for it is "partial 16S ribosomal RNA". It matches the Rfam family "Bacterial large subunit ribosomal RNA", at positions 1851 to 2567 of the family's 2925-position model. The record is from RNAcentral. Lineage: Eukaryota; Metazoa; Arthropoda; Insecta; Hemiptera; Miridae.